RNAcentral lists this small nuclear RNA (107 nucleotides) under Octopus vulgaris (common octopus). Lineage: Eukaryota; Metazoa; Mollusca; Cephalopoda; Octopoda; Octopodidae. RNAcentral also lists the same sequence under 1 other name. The record is from RNAcentral.
CUACUUGCUACAGCAGUACUUAUUCUAAAAUUGGAAUGAUACAAAGAAGAUUAGCAUGGCCCCUGCGCAGGGAUGACACGCAAAUUCAUGAAGCGUUCCAUAUUUUU